Salvator merianae (Argentine black and white tegu) is the source of this 1229-nucleotide long non-coding RNA. NCBI's taxonomy places the organism in Eukaryota, Metazoa, Chordata, Lepidosauria, Squamata, Teiidae. The record is from Ensembl.
GGGCGUGUGCGCGCCUCUCUCUCGGCUCCUUUCGCAGGGCUGCUUUGUCGCCGCUGCGCGAGGACAGCGCGACUGGAGGCAGCCAAGGCGGCGGCGGCGAAGGUGGCGAAGGCGGCGACCGUUCCCUGCAUCUGCCACGAGACCCUCGGCACAGUCCAAGCGGGCUAGGCGCAGCGGCGGCGGCGGCGGGCGGCGGCGGGCGGCGGCGGCGGCUUCUCCAGCUGAUGUCAUCCGCAGCUGGCGAGGCUGUGCCUGCGCGCUGCGCCGAGAGGGGGACCCGACCCGCCCGUUGGCUGCCUCUGCAGCCGCCUUAGGAGCAGCCGGCGCUGGGAUCCCGCUUGGCAGCCCUCCUCGUUCUCCAGCCGCCGCGGAGGGCACAGCGCCGUCCCGGCAAGAGCAAGAGCAAGAGCAAGGGCGGCCGGGCGGCCGGGCAGAGAGGAGGAGGAUGCGCGCUCCGUCCCAGUUGGAGCUGCCUCUGCGCGCCGCUUCCUGCCACCCUUCGCCGGCCAAGCGCAGGCAGCAGCGGCAGCCGCCCAAGUGAGGGCUACUGGAAGGGGAGGAGGAGGAGGAAGAGGAGGAGGAGGAGGAGGAGGAGAGGGAAACAGCAGCAGCAGCAGCAGCAAAAAACCCGGGAGCCACAGCUGCGCUCCGCCGUCCCACCAGCACCACCACCAGCAGCAGAUUCUCAGCCGACGGCAGCCAGCUGGUAUCCUUCCUUUCUUUCUAAGGGGACGCGGGGGCAGCUGCCACCCGGGCGAGGAGGACCGAAGCGAAGUUGCGAGCCCGCGCCCCGCCAGCGCAGCAGUUGAGAAAAGGUGGCGUCGUGGGUCUCCCCUUUGGAAAGCCCGGCGGCUUCUCCGCCGCCUUCUCCCUCCCUCCGUCCCUCCCUCCCUCCGCAGGAGCGGGGCCCUCCAGCGGCCGGCGGGGCCCGGUUGCACGUUCCACCUGGCCCAGGAAGGGACGCGGCGUCGGGGCCCGCGAUGGGCUCUUUACCUACCGAGAAGGUUCUGGGCAGAUUUCGGUUCUGAUUUAAGUGCUUCGUUGCAAGACAUGUGAGCGGAACAAGUUAUCCGGACCAGCAGCAGAUGAAUCUGCCUUCUGGAGUGCAUGAUUGGACAAGGAAGGAGACCAUAGCACCUUCAGCCCCUCCAGAAUCCAACCAGCCUGCACCCUGACCCCUUCUUACCUGGGUAAGUAGAACUCUUCUGCUUAUGGGAUUGGAAUCUGCU